AAAAUGGUUCGCCUUAGCAGGGUGAAAUUUUAAAAGCGCAUAAACUAUACGAUACCAUAUGAGAAAUAUCUAAGCGACAUAUUGCGAAACAAACAUUUAUCGCAAGACACAAAUUUUGGCGGAAGAAAAAAAAAAAAAAAUAAUCAGAAGAAAAACAAUAAGUCUUUCCACAGAAAAGUGGAAAGACUUAAUAAUAAUCAGAACAAAUACAAUAGGCUUUCCACAGACAAGUGGAAAGACCUAAUAAUAAUAAUAA
Molecule: long non-coding RNA, 256 nt
Filed under: Mytilus galloprovincialis (Mediterranean mussel)
Lineage: Eukaryota; Metazoa; Mollusca; Bivalvia; Mytilida; Mytilidae
Source: RNAcentral